UUAAAACAAGCUUUUAAGAGCAGAUGGCGGAUGCCUUGCCAAAGAGAGGCGAUGAAGGACGUACUAGACUGCGAUAAGCUAUGCGGAGCUGUCAAGGAGCUUUGAUGCGUAGAUGUCCGAAUGGGGCAACCCAACUAAUAGAGAUAUUAGUUACUCUAAUUUAGAGAGCGAACCUAGUGAAGUGAAACAUCUCAGUAACUAGAGGAAAAGAAAUCAACGAGAUUCCCUAAGUAGUGGCGAGCGAACGGGGAAAAGGGCAAACCGAGUGCUUGCAUUCGGGGUUGAGGACUGCAACGUCCAAGAGAACGCUUUAGCAGAGUUACCUGGAAAGGUAAGCCAUAGAAAGUGAUAGCCUUGUAUGCGACAAGGCGUUCUUAGGUAGCAGGAUCCAGAGUAGGCCAGGACACGAGAAAUCCAGGUUGAAGCUGGGGAGACCACUCUCCAACCCUAAAUACUACUCUUUGAGCGAUAGCGAACAAGUACCGUGAGGGAAAGGUGAAAAGAACCGCAGUGAGCGGAGUGAAAUAGAACCUGAAACCAUCUGCUUACAAUCAUUCAGAGCCCUAUGAUUUAUCAGGGUGAUGGACUGCCUUUUGCAUAAUGAUCCUGCGAGUUGUGGUAUCUGGCAAGGUUAAGCGGAUGCGAAGCCGUAGCGAAAGCGAGUCUUAAUAGGGCGAUUAAGUCAGAUGCUGCAGACCCGAAGCUAAGUGAUCUAUCCAUGGCCAAGUUGAAACGCGUGUAAUAGCGCGUGGAGGACUGAACUCGUACCCAUUGAAACGGGUUGGGAUGAGCUGUGGAUAGGGGUGAAAGGCCAAACAAACUUAGUGAUAGCUGGUUCUCUUCGAAAUAUAUUUAGGUAUAGCCUCAAGUGAUAAUAAAAGGGGGUAGAGCCCUGAUUGGGCUAGGGCUGCUCGCCGCGGUACCAAACCCUAUCAAACUUCAAAUACCUUUUAUCGUAUCUUGGGAGUCAGGCGGUGGGUGAUAAAAUCAAUCGUCAAAAGGGGAACAACCCAGACUACCAAAUAAGGUCCCUAAGUUCUAUUCUGAGUGGAAAAAGAUGUGUGGCUACUCAAACAACCAGGAGGUUGGCUUAGAAGCAGCCAUCCUUUAAAGAAAGCGUAACAGCUCACUGGUCUAGUGGUCAUGCGCUGAAAAUAUAACGGGGCUAAGAUAGACACCGAAUUUGUAGAUUGUGUUAAACACAGUGGUAGAAGAGCGUUCAUACCAGCGUUGAAGGUAUACCGGUAAGGAGUGCUGGAGCGGUAUGAAGUGAGCAUGCAGGAAUGAGUAACGAUAAGAUAUAUGAGAAUUGUAUCCGCCGUAAAUCUAAGGUUUCCUACGCGAUGGUCGUCAUCGUAGGGUUAGUCGGGUCCUAAGCCGAGUCCGAAAGGGGUAGGUGAUGGCAAAUUGGUUAAUAUUCCAAUACCGACUAUGGAGCGUGAUGGGGGGACGCAUAGGGUUAAGCGAGCUAGCUGAUGGAAGCGCUAGUCUAAGGGCGUAGAUUGGAGGGAAGGCAAAUCCACCUCUGUAUUUGAAACCCAAACAGGCUCUUUGAGUCCUUUUAGGACAAAGGGAGAAUCGCUGAUACCGUCGUGCCAAGAAAAGCCUCUAAGCAUAUCCAUAGUCGUCCGUACCGCAAACCGACACAGGUAGAUGAGAUGAGUAUUCUAAGGCGCGUGAAAGAACUCUGGUUAAGGAACUCUGCAAACUAGCACCGUAAGUUCGCGAUAAGGUGUGCCGCAGCAAUGCGGUCUCAGCAAAGAGUCCCUCCCGACUGUUUACCAAAAACACAGCACUUUGCCAACUCGUAAGAGGAAGUAUAAGGUGUGACGCCUGCCCGGUGCUCGAAGGUUAAGAGGAUGCGUCAGUCGCAAGAUGAAGCGUUGAAUUGAAGCCCGAGUAAACGGCGGCCGUAACUAUAACGGUCCUAAGGUAGCGAAAUUCCUUGUCGGUUAAAUACCGACCUGCAUGAAUGGCGUAACGAGAUGGGAGCUGUCUCAACCAGAGAUUCAGUGAAAUUGUAGUGGAGGUGAAAAUUCCUCCUACCCGCGGCAAGACGGAAAGACCCCGUGGACCUUUACUACAACUUAGCACUGCUAACGGGAAUAUCAUGCGCAGGAUAGGUGGGAGGCUUUGAAGUAAGGGCUUUGGCUCUUAUGGAGCCAUCCUUGAGAUACCACCCUUGAUGUUUCUGUUAGCUAACUGGCCUGUGUUAUCCACGGGCAGGACAAUGCUUGGUGGGUAGUUUGACUGGGGCGGUCGCCUCCUAAAAAGUAACGGAGGCUUGCAAAGGUUGGCUCAUUGCGGUUGGAAAUCGCAAGUUGAGUGUAAUGGCACAAGCCAGCCUGACUGUAAGAC
RNAcentral lists this ribosomal RNA (2358 nucleotides) under Helicobacter pylori. Its description in RNAcentral is "bacterial LSU rRNA". It matches the Rfam family "Bacterial large subunit ribosomal RNA", at positions 1 to 2381 of the family's 2925-position model. The record is from RNAcentral. Lineage: Bacteria; Pseudomonadati; Campylobacterota; Epsilonproteobacteria; Campylobacterales; Helicobacteraceae.